Molecule: ribosomal RNA, 377 nt
Filed under: uncultured bacterium
Lineage: Bacteria
Description: bacterial SSU rRNA
Rfam family: Bacterial small subunit ribosomal RNA
Source: RNAcentral
AUACGUAGGGGGCGAGCGUUGUCCGAAUUUACUGGGCGUAAAGCGCGUGUAGGCGGUUCUUUAAGUCAGGUGUGAAAUCCUGUGGCUCAACCACAGAACUGCACUUGAAACUGAAGGGCUUGAGUGUGGGAGAGGAAAGUGGAAUUCCUGGUGUAGCGGUGAAAUGCGUAGAUAUCAGGAGGAACACCCGUGGCGAAGGCGGCUUUCUGGCCCACCACUGACGCUGAGACGCGAAAGCUAGGGGAGCGAACGGGAUUAGAUACCCCGGUAGUCCUAGCCGUAAACGAUGGAUACUAGGUGUUAGAGGUAUCGACCCCUCUAGUGCCGUAGCUAACGCAUUAAGUAUCCCGCCUGGGGAGUACGGCCGCAAGGUUGAA